Molecule: ribosomal RNA, 285 nt
Filed under: Triticum aestivum (bread wheat)
Lineage: Eukaryota; Viridiplantae; Streptophyta; Magnoliopsida; Poales; Poaceae
Description: partial small subunit ribosomal RNA
Source: RNAcentral
AUGCCCCGCCCCAAGCGCCCCGGCGUCGCCCUCCCACGACAUCUCGGGCUCCACCACGUUGAGGUACAGGAUGUCUCGGCGGUUCAGCUCCCGGGCCAUGUACACGGCCAGCUCGUCCGGGUCCGAGUCGCGGCAGCCGAGGCAGCUGGAGUAGGGCGAGAGGCGCACGCCGACGCAGUAGGGCCCGAUCUGGUUCGACACGGCGUCCACCACCUCGAGGGUGAAGCGGCAGCGGUUCUCAGCGGUUCUCAAGGCUGCCCCCGUAGCCGUCGGCGCGGUCGUUGA